GACGAACGCUGGCGGCGUGCCUAAUACAUGCAAGUAGAACGCUGAAGGAGGAGCUUGCUUCUCUGGAUGAGUUGCGAACGGGUGAGUAACGCGUAGGUAACCUGCCUGGUAGCGGGGGAUAACUAUUGGAAACGAUAGCUAAUACCGCAUAAGAGUAGAUGUUGCAUGACAUUUGCUUAAAAGGUGCACUUGCAUCACUACCAGAUGGACCUGCGUUGUAUUAGCUAGUUGGUGGGGUAAGGGCUCACCAAGGCGACGAUACAUAGCCGACCUGAGAGGGUGAUCGGCCACACUGGGACUGAGACACGGCCCAGACUCCUACGGGAGGCAGCAGUAGGGAAUCUUCGGCAAUGGACGGAAGUCUGACCGAGCAACGCCGCGUGAGUGAAGAAGGUUUUCGGAUCGUAAAGCUCUGUUGUAAGAGAAGAACGAGUGUGAGAGCGGAAAGUUCACACUGUGAC
RNAcentral lists this ribosomal RNA (461 nucleotides) under Streptococcus pneumoniae. RNAcentral describes it as "bacterial SSU rRNA". It matches the Rfam family "Bacterial small subunit ribosomal RNA", at positions 28 to 473 of the family's 1533-position model. The record is from RNAcentral. Lineage: Bacteria; Bacillati; Bacillota; Bacilli; Lactobacillales; Streptococcaceae.